This 1408-nucleotide long non-coding RNA is filed under the name Capsicum annuum. RNAcentral describes it as "long non-coding RNA (CANN_LNC007541)". Lineage: Eukaryota; Viridiplantae; Streptophyta; Magnoliopsida; Solanales; Solanaceae. The record is from RNAcentral.
AUCCAAAGCAAAGUACUUGAAAGCUUGGUUUUUAGGAGUGAUCUUUCGCCUUUGUUGACGAGAGCUGAAACAAGCUUACUUACUAAUAAAGCGGAAAGAAGCACCUUCUUUCUCAAAGUCAAGUUUCUCCCCUUUUACUAGUAGUUGAAGUGCUCCUUGUUGUUCCGAUAUUAACCGGAUCCGAGCUUCCCAAGCUCAUUACAGGUCUGGCAAAUUCACACUACCACCCUUACGCAAAGGUCUCAGGUUCAAAUCCCGAGUAAACAAAAAUUAUUCAGUAAAUAGUGCUUCUCCCCUUAAACUUUUCUUACACAACACAAAUUCUGAUUACUUGGACUCCAUUUCGGGUACCAGACACCGGGUGUAAAAUAAAGAAAAGAAGCAAAUUUACACUAAUAAAAGUUAAACACCUAUAGAUUUCUCAAGAUCCCAAAAAGCAUAAUUAGAUUUCUCUUCCUCCCAAAAGCUAAAUUACAAACAUAUCAAAUCAAAGAAAGCAAAAUACUGACACAAAGAUCAACCCUUGAUCCAAGACAAAAAUUAAAAAGUUAUCUAGAAAAAAAGGGCAGUUCGGUUCACUAAAGCUCCCGCUAUGCGCAGGGUUCGGGGAAGGGCCCCACCACAAGGGUAUAUUGUACAUAGCCUUACCUUGCAUUUCUGCCAGAGACUGUUUACAAAGAUUAAAAAUUUGUACACACAUCCCACUUGCAAUGACAACACUAACAACCAUAGGUAAUCCAAGCUUACUCUUAUAAUGAGCUAAGUUGAGCGGACUCUUCAUUUUUUAUGUUGCACCCGUGUCAAAUUCUUAAAAAAUAUACUAAUUUUGGCGAAUUCGACACGCACUUAUUGACAUUUUUGACGAGUCCGAGCAUCAUAGAUAAUGAGAGGUUUGACAAACUUACACUACCACCUUUAAUUAGAGGACUCGAGUUUUAGCCUGAGUAUGAAAAGAAUCCUUACGCAGCACAAAUCCCAAUUAGUCCUAUGUGUGUGUAUCAAAGCUGGUACCAGACACCGGGUGGAAAACAAAAAAAGGCAAGUUUAUACAAGCAAAAGUUAACCAUCAAUUUAUUUUUCCAAAUGUUAAACAACUAUAGAUUUCUCAUGAUUCCAAAAAACUAAAUCACAAACAUAUCAAAUCAAGAAAGCACAAAACUAACACAAAGAUUAAAACUUGAUCCAAGAAAAAGAUUAAAAUAUAUAUAUAUAUAUAUAUAUAUAUCAAGAAUUAAAGAUUAGAAAUUUGUAUACAUACCCCACACUUGCAAUCAACACCAGCAACCACAGGAACAAGACAACCAUAAGUAAGCCAAGCUUCCCUCUUCAUAGUCAUAAGAUAAGCAAACAAUGCAGUGAAAAAUGGUGUUGUAGCACCUACAGCUUGAUUGAAUGAAACAGGCAAAUA